AAAGAACUGUUUCCUUUAUUGCCCCUGAGGUCGGAACUAUUUUCGCUACGUUUGUAAAACUAUGAUGUAUAUUUAUUAAUGAAAAUUUAUAGGUUCCAGAAAAGCUGUGAUUGAAAUUAAAAUAAAUGGCGAGUGAGUCCAUGGGACACAGAAGAUUCCCCAGCUUCUAUAUAAUGUUGUACAUGGUUAUAACUUUAGAACGGUAACCCAUAUUCAAACUUGAUCUGCG
This 229-nucleotide long non-coding RNA is filed under the name Mytilus galloprovincialis (Mediterranean mussel). Lineage: Eukaryota; Metazoa; Mollusca; Bivalvia; Mytilida; Mytilidae. The record is from RNAcentral.